AUCAUUACUACUAAGAAGAACUUAUCUAAAUACUAACCACUUCACUUGAUCACCUAAAACUACUUAAAAGAUCUAAUGGAAGAGUGUUUAUAUUAUGGAAGACAAUAUGAUCUAUAUCAGUGGGAACAGAAGAGGAACCUAGAAUUUGGACACUUCGUUAAAAAUCCAGGCAUUUCUCCAGCUUUGUUCCAAAUUCUCCAGCUUUGUUUCAAAUGCCCACGAUUCCACUGGACACAUUUAUGUGACAUGAUCAGAUGAUUGAAUGGAAACUUCCAAUUGUAUUUCCAGGAAUUAACAAGGACUUGAAACACAGUAUACCUACUAAGAAUACCUCGUAUAUACCAAAUAAAGAUUUAUGAGCAAAUGAGUACAGCAGAUUACUGAGAAGUUUUACUUACACAUUUAAAACAUUUUAUUUUGGGGACCGGCAUCAUAGCAUAUCCUAUAUGGG
Oryctolagus cuniculus (rabbit) is the source of this 451-nucleotide non-coding RNA. The record is from RefSeq and is a predicted model, not a curated record. NCBI's taxonomy places the organism in Eukaryota, Metazoa, Chordata, Mammalia, Lagomorpha, Leporidae.